This 253-nucleotide ribosomal RNA is filed under the name uncultured bacterium. Its description in RNAcentral is "partial 16S ribosomal RNA". It matches the Rfam family "Bacterial small subunit ribosomal RNA", at positions 524 to 776 of the family's 1533-position model. The record is from RNAcentral.
UACGUAGGUGGCAAGCGUUGUCCGGAUUGAUUGGGUUUAAAGGGUGCGUAGGCGGCCCUGUAAGUCAGUGCUGAAAUAUCCCAGCUUAACUGGGAGGGUGGCAUUGAUACUGCGGGGCUAGAGUACAGAUGAGGUAGGCGGAAUUGACGGUGUAGCGGUGAAAUGCUUAGAUAUCGUCAAGAACACCUAUAGCGAAGGCAGCUUACUAGGCUGUAACUGACGCUGAGGCACGAAAGUGUGGGGAUCAAACAGG